Helianthus annuus (common sunflower) is the source of this 134-nucleotide non-coding RNA. Lineage: Eukaryota; Viridiplantae; Streptophyta; Magnoliopsida; Asterales; Asteraceae. The record is from Rfam.
GAAAGCCCUAUGAUGGGAAACUACCACGUUAAGUUUGGAGAGAGAUAGGACCGGUUAUAUAAUAGGGGGAGCAGAUGCAAGCUUUUUCUUUCAAUAGCCGGCCAAAUGACUACAGGAUCAUUGGUCUACUCUAC